UCUCUGGCUUUUCUAAUAUUCUUGCUUUUGCCUGUGGAGAGUCAUGGCAAGUUUGCCCCGGAUCUCGUCCAGCUCGAUGGUCCUGGAAUAGACCAUACGACAAAUCGGACACCAAUCAGUUAAGAUCUUACAAGAAAUGGAGCCAACGCAGUUCAGUUAUAGCCAGUCGACUAUGUCAAUCUGGGCACAAGGUAUGGAGGCCAGAAGAAAGACUUCAGCAACAUGCUGUUAUUCUAAUUCUACAAUAACCAAGGGCAAAAGCCAACAGAAUAUGAAGUAGUUAAUAUUGAAAUUUCGGAAUGAAAGUCUUUAUGGAUGUAAUUUCAUAAUAGAUGUAUCUGAAACCGGGCGUCGCUAAGAGAGAAAAAUAGAAACUAGAGGCUGAAGGCAGAAAUUGAUGACAACAUAUACAAAUGGUGUCAUGUAAACAGAUAGGAGAGGGGGAAAAAACUCGCACAGCAUCAGACCUUUUUUCAUUGUGAAGACAACGCCGGCAGAAUUCAGUUCGUUCUUUUUUGAGGAUGCAGG
This 528-nucleotide long non-coding RNA is filed under the name Phoenix dactylifera (date palm). RNAcentral's name for it is "long non-coding RNA (PDAC_LNC021827)". Lineage: Eukaryota; Viridiplantae; Streptophyta; Magnoliopsida; Arecales; Arecaceae. The record is from RNAcentral.